Molecule: unclassified non-coding RNA, 224 nt
Filed under: Hevea brasiliensis (rubber tree)
Lineage: Eukaryota; Viridiplantae; Streptophyta; Magnoliopsida; Malpighiales; Euphorbiaceae
Source: RNAcentral
GGCUAGGAAUAUACAAAUCGGGUAAAAUACGCCCAUUGUUUUAGAAGAACAAAAUAUGAAACAGCCAAACGCUUAAAUUGAAUCAACGAAUCACACUAAAAAGAGUAGGUUCAGCGAUGAGCCAAGCUAACAUAUAAAGUGUGGAUAUCUGCAGAUGUAAAGGAACACAUUCUAUUCAGUUUACAUGGUAUGGAUAUGUCACAUAUGGUAUCCCUUCUUCUUUU